RNAcentral lists this small nuclear RNA (107 nucleotides) under Dasypus novemcinctus (nine-banded armadillo). Lineage: Eukaryota; Metazoa; Chordata; Mammalia; Cingulata; Dasypodidae. The record is from RNAcentral.
GUGCUUGCUUUGGCAGCAUAUGUGCUAAAAUUGGAACAAUACAGAAAAGAUUAGCAUGGCCCCUGUGCAAGGAUGACAUGCAAAUUUUGAAGAACUUUUAUCAUUGA